GGGAACAGGUGUCAAAAUUGACCUGUUUAUAAUAGUGGUUUCUUUUACUUAGUGAAUAUAGAAUGUUGUCAUUACUUUAUGCUGCAUGACUGUGUUUUGGAUCUUUGUUUAUUCUGAGUUCUUACAAAAUUUGAUGCAAGGGCUGUGAACUGUUUCAUCAUUUGUUUUUCUGCAGUGUGCAUUAAAUGACAAAAAAAAGGUGUCAGCCUUAACUGGUUUGCAAAGAUGCAAAGCCAUUCCAGUUCUGAGGGGAGGGCAUAUCCCUUACCAAAUGCAGGAGCGUGUUAGUACUUGGCUUUAAAGGUUAGUACCAUUUUUCAAAUUACUUGCCCUUUUUCAAGUGCUCUCUAAAGAAUUACAAUAUUUAGUUGUCAACUCCUGAAAAGAAAGCCAUUUCCUUUUCUUGCUGUAUCUCUUAGUGUUUGUUCUACUGAACUACAGUUGAAAUAUUUUUUGCAGUGUGCCUGUUCUUAAAUCUUGUUGUAAAAUGGCUUAAAUGUUUAAUGGUAUUUCAUCUUAGUUUUUAAAAAUGGGAUAAAUGAGUGUUUCACUAUACACAUGUUGGGCUGCAUAAAGAAGUCAAAAUAUAUAUAUUUAUUUUUUUUUUUAAUGUUUCAGAAGAUGUCCGAAAGUAUCUAAGUUUUUGUUUGGCUUGGGUUGAAAGAUAGAUGUUCUAGUAAAGUAUAACAGUGGUGGGGUUGUUACGGGGAUUGUAAAUUAUAUCUGUAAAUCUCAGCUUGAAGGAUCUUGCACAAAAACAUGGAAAGUAAAUCAGAGCAGAGAGCUCCUAAUGGGCCAACUAGAUCUGGAGAACCAAGUGUUAGGCAGUAGCUGAAUUUCAUGUGUAUUUCAAUUGCAGUGGUAAGGCAAUGUUUCAUUUAAGUUGUCUUCUCAAUUGGUGUUAUUUAAAUCUUCAUUUCAUCAUCUUUGACCUUCAACCUGUUCAAUUAAUAAACAUCAUCAUCAUUGGUUAAAAUGCAGCCAUUAUCAAUGAACAUGGAAGUUACAGCACAGAAACAUUCAGACCUCCUGUAAAUAAAGACAAGGUUCUUCAA
Molecule: long non-coding RNA, 1055 nt
Filed under: Strigops habroptila (Kakapo)
Lineage: Eukaryota; Metazoa; Chordata; Aves; Psittaciformes; Psittacidae
Description: lncRNA (ENSSHBG00005019467.1)
Source: RNAcentral